Molecule: long non-coding RNA, 739 nt
Organism: Triticum aestivum (bread wheat)
Lineage: Eukaryota; Viridiplantae; Streptophyta; Magnoliopsida; Poales; Poaceae
Exons: 3
Source: RefSeq, a predicted model, not a curated record
ACCUUAGCCGACGCCCCUUCCUCCUCCGAAUUUUUGCGGCGUGUCGGUGCCAUCAUGGCGCUCCGCUCUCUCUCCAGCACUCAACGGCAGGAUGUGGGCUCUCGUGCUUCGCCGCCGGCGGACACUCUGCCUGCCACCUUUCAGCCUUCCACCUCUCAGGGUGGAUCUGGCAAUGAAGCUAGAGCUAAUGUUGCUAGGAAGGCGAAGGAGGUUGAACAUAUGUUGGCAAAUUUAAAGAAGAGGGAGUGGAGAUAGAUGACGAGAUAGCUAGUAUUAUUGAUGAUGAUAUAACUAGAAUUAAAGCUGAAGCUGACAGGGAGAACAUCAUCAAUGGGCUGAAAAGGAAAGGGUUGUGGGUAAUGGUCAGUAUUACAUCUGCUACUAUUGGAUUCUUGCUCGGAGUGGAAGUUUGUGAACAGAUCGUCUAUGCACACGUGGGCAGGUCAAUCAUUCAUUUUGGUGAACAUUUUGGUGGAAAAUAGCCUAGGGCUUGUGGGUCGACUCUUCUGAUGGUAUGUAAAACCAAGCAGAUAGUUCUCCAGAUAGUAUUACUAAAACAUUGUUAGCUAACUAUGGUAUGCAAAAACUGUUUAUGUUGUCUGUUAAUUGUCAUGAUGUACUAUGGUUUCUGGCAUAUAAUAAUGUAACUCUUACUUAACACCAUGUGCUGUUCGAAGCCGCAUGGAGCAGGAGUGUUUGGUAAUUGAAUCUGGUGUGCGUGGUGCAGGAAUUAAUUCUA